Unclassified non-coding RNA from Cercocebus atys (sooty mangabey), 168 nucleotides. NCBI's taxonomy places the organism in Eukaryota, Metazoa, Chordata, Mammalia, Primates, Cercopithecidae. The record is from Ensembl.
GACCAAAGCUGUCUGCAGUGCAGGAAGCCAACUAUUAAGGGGAAACAAAAGUGUUCUUAGGAGUCCUGCUGUCAUUGUGAAUUGAGCCGGUAAAGCCCCGAGGGGUUUCAUCGUGGAGGUGGAUGGAGAAGCAGCUGGGGGCCUUGACUUUAGUAAGGACCCCUAAGG